AUGAUUGUUGUGUCUGUCCUUAUGGUUAUGGUCCAUCAACUCCUGAAAUUCAAAAGGUUCUAUGAGAAAAAUGGUGGUCCAGUUCUAAAAGGUGUAAAGAAUAUAAGGAUCUAUACAAGGAAACAAAUGAAACAAAUGACAAAUAACUACAAGCGUGUAAUUGGAGAGGGACACUUUGGUAAGGUUUAUCUGGGGACUCUCAAGGACAAACAACAGGUGGCUAUAAAGAAAUCCAUCAAGGUUAACAAGCACAUGAAAAAGGAGUUCACCGAUGAGGUUAUAAUCCAAUCUGCGAUGAGGCACAAGAACAUUGUCAUGCUCAUAGGCUGCUGCUUGGAGCUGGAUGUUCCCAUGUUGGUGUAUGAGUUUGCAGCGAGAGGGAGUCUGUAUGAUGUUCUCUUCAAGUGCAGAGAUAGGAUUCUGGUAGGCACACGAUUGCGGAUUGCCAUUGGGUCAGCCAAAGGCUUAACAUACAUGCAUUCAGCAGGGGAGGGUACAAUCCGUCAUGGUGACGUGAAAUCUGCCAACAUCGUUCUCGAUAAAAAGUUCACCCCAAAGGUUUCAGACUUUGGGACAUCAAAGCUACUCGCGAGAGGAAAAGCUGAGAUGACAGAACAUGUCAUUGGGGACAUGAGCUACAUAAAUCCGAUAUAUAUGGAGCAAGGGAUUGUUACACAGAAGAGCGAUGUCUAUGGUUUCGGAGUUGUCCUCAUAGAACUUAUCACAAGGAGGCCUGCAACAUAUGAUGCUGAGAGGAGCUAUGUUGCAAACUUUGUUGAAGCUUGUCUAGCAAAAAGAGCAAGAAACUUUAUUGAUAACAAUAUUACAAGCGAGGCGGAUAUCGAUCUCUUGGAAAUGGUCAGCAGGGUCACCGUGGAUUGUCUGAAGCCCAAUCCAGGAGAACGACAAGACAUGAAACAAGUAGAGAACCGCCUCCUCGAGAUUGUUGCACAUUCUGUGGACCAUAGUCAGGAGAGGAACUACGAGGGAGAUCUUAGUCCGGCACCGGAUGAUGUUGCUUUGCUUAAAGCCUUCGGAGAAUGA
This 1044-nucleotide ribosomal RNA is filed under the name Triticum aestivum (bread wheat). Its description in RNAcentral is "partial small subunit ribosomal RNA". The record is from RNAcentral. Lineage: Eukaryota; Viridiplantae; Streptophyta; Magnoliopsida; Poales; Poaceae.